ACGGUGACGCUUCCGGAUACAGUGCGUUCUGCACUGAGGAUUCUUUAAAGGCGGCGUGCCGGCGUUUCCUCUCCGAGUCAAAACAACUUCCGCUGACUGUUGCAGUGAAGGCUGCGGACAACCCGAUCACUGCCUCCCAGGAACCGAGAGAUGUUCGCAUCAGCGACCUGCCGGCCGCUAUUCUAGGAUGUAUUUUGAGGAACCUGGAUGUGGGCACUCAACUUUACACAAGCCAAGUGUGUGUCUUAUGGAGGCUAGUGCUACAGGAACCCGUCAGUCAGCAUCAUGUCAUUGUCGUCAUCCGCCCGGUGACCAUAAAAGAGUCCUGGGACUACUGCAUAAGUACAGAACUGAACGCC
Long non-coding RNA from Paramacrobiotus metropolitanus, 359 nucleotides. RefSeq lists it as uncharacterized. The record is from RefSeq and is a predicted model, not a curated record. The transcript has 3 exons. NCBI's taxonomy places the organism in Eukaryota, Metazoa, Tardigrada, Eutardigrada, Parachela, Macrobiotidae.